UCCAGACUCCUACGGGAGGCAGCAGUGGGGGAUAUUGCACAAUGGGGGAAACCCUGAUGCAGCGACGCCGCGUGGGUGAAGAAGCGCCUCGGCGCGUAAAGCCCUGUCAGUAGGGAAGAAAAUGACGGUACCUGAAGAAGAAGCCCCGGCUAACUACGUGCCAGCAGCCGCGGUAAUACGUAGGGGGCAAGCGUUAUCCGGAUUCACUGGGUGUAAAGGGAGCGUAGACGGCGACGCAAGUCUGGAGUGAAAGCCCGGGGCCCAACCCCGGAACUGCAUUGGAAACUGUAUUUCUAGAGUGUCGGAGAGGCAAGUGGAAUUCCUGGUGUAGCGGUGAAAUGCGUAGAUAUCAGGAGGAACACCAGUGGCGAAGGCGGCUUGCUGGACGAUGACUGACGUUGAGGCUCGAAAGCGUGGGGAGCAAACAGGAUUAGAUACCCCAGUAG
Molecule: ribosomal RNA, 446 nt
Filed under: uncultured bacterium
Lineage: Bacteria
Description: bacterial SSU rRNA
Rfam family: Bacterial small subunit ribosomal RNA
Source: RNAcentral